GACGAACGCUGGCGGCGUGGAUUAGGCAUGCAAGUCGAACGGUAUCAUCCUUUCGGGGGUGAGAGAGUGGCGAACUGGUGAGUAACACGUAGGUUAUCUACCCUCAAGACGGGGACAACCCAGGGAAACUUGGGCUAAUACCGGAUGUGAGCAACUUUUAGUUGUUUGAAAGGUGGCGUAAGCUGUCGCUUGGGGAUGAGCCUGCGUCCUAUUAGUUAGUUGGUGAGGUAACGGCUCACCUAGGCAAUGAUAGGUAGGCGGCCUUAACGGGUGGUCGCCCACACUGGGAUUGAGACACGGACCAGACUCCUACGGGAGGCAGCAGUGAGGAAUAUUGGUCAAUGGGCGGAAGCCUGAACCAGCCAUGCCGCGUGCAGGAAGGAGGCCCUACGGGUUGUAAACUGCUUUUACCCGGGAAGAAACCGCCCCUGUGGGGGCGUUGGCCGGUACCGGGGAAAAAGGAUCGGCUAACUCCGUG
This 478-nucleotide ribosomal RNA is filed under the name uncultured bacterium. RNAcentral's name for it is "bacterial SSU rRNA". It matches the Rfam family "Bacterial small subunit ribosomal RNA", at positions 28 to 507 of the family's 1533-position model. The record is from RNAcentral.